Molecule: ribosomal RNA, 724 nt
Filed under: uncultured bacterium
Lineage: Bacteria
Description: bacterial SSU rRNA
Rfam family: Bacterial small subunit ribosomal RNA
Source: RNAcentral
GGAUAUGACUGAUCAUCGCAUGGUGGUUGGUGGAAAGCUUUAUUGUGGUUUUGGGAUGGACUCGCGGCCCUAUCAGCUUGUUGGUGAGGUAAUGGCUUACCCAAGGCGACGACGGGUAGCCGGCCUGAGAGGGUGACCGGCCACACUGGGACUGAGACACGGUCCAGACUCCUACGGGAGGCAGCAGUGGGGAAUAUUGCACAAUGGGCGCAAGCCUGAUGCAGCGACGCCGCGUGAGGGAUGACGGCCUUCGGGUUGUAAACCUCUUUCAGUAGGGAAGAAGCGAAAGUGACGGUACCUGCAGAAGAAGCGCCGGCUAACUACGUGCCAGCAGCCGCGGUAAUACGUAGGGCGCAAGCGUUAUCCGGAAUUAUUGGGCGUAAAGAGCUCGUAGGCGGUUUGUCGCGUCUGCCGUGAAAGUCCGGGGCUCAACUCCGGAUCUGCGGUGGGUACGGGCAGACUAGAGUGAUGUAGGGGAGACUGGAAUUCCUGGUGUAGCGGUGAAAUGCGCAGAUAUCAGGAGGAACACCGAUGGCGAAGGCAGGUCUCUGGGCAUUAACUGACGCUGAGGAGCGAAAGCAUGGGGAGCGAACAGGAUUAGAUACCCUGGUAGUCCAUGCCGUAAACGUUGGGCACUAGGUGUGGGGGACAUUCCACGUUUUCCGCGCCGUAGCUAACGCAUUAAGUGCCCCGCCUGGGGAGUACGGCCGCAAGGCUAAAAUUC